UACGGGGGGGGCAAGCGUUGUUCGGAAUUACUGGGCGUAAAGGGCUCGUAGGCGGCCAACUAAGUCAGACGUGAAAUUCCUCGGCUUAACCGGGGAACUGCGUCUGAUACUGGAUGGCUUGAGUUUGGGAGAGGGAUGCGGAAUUCCAGGUGUAGCGGUGAAAUGCGUAGAUAUCUGGAGGAACACCGGUGGCGAAGGCGGCAUCCUGGACCAACACUGACGCUGAGGAGCGAAAGCCAGGGGAGCAAACGGG
Molecule: ribosomal RNA, 253 nt
Filed under: uncultured bacterium
Lineage: Bacteria
Description: partial 16S ribosomal RNA
Rfam family: Bacterial small subunit ribosomal RNA
Source: RNAcentral